Non-coding RNA from Triticum urartu, 125 nucleotides. NCBI's taxonomy places the organism in Eukaryota, Viridiplantae, Streptophyta, Magnoliopsida, Poales, Poaceae. The record is from Rfam.
UACUGACUCCCUCCAUCUGAAAUUACUCGUCGGAGAAAUAGAUGUAAGUAAAUGUAUUUUAGUUUUACAUACAUCUAUUUUUAUCCAUCUCUACGACAAGUAAUUUUGGACGAAGGGAGUAUGAC